AGAACGAACGCUGGCGGCAGGCUUAACACAUGCAAGUCGAACGGUUGUAGCAAUACAGCAGUGGCAGACGGGUGAGUAACACGUGGGAACCUUCCUAGGGGUACGGAACAACUCAGGGAAACUUGAGCUAAUACCGUAUACGUCCGUAAGGAGAAAGAUUCAUCGCCCCUAGACGGGCCCGCGUAGGAUUAGGUAGUUGGUGAGGUAACGGCUCACCAAGCCUACGAUCCUUAGCUGAUCUGAGAGGAUGAUCAGCCACACUGGGACUGAGACACGGCCCAGACUCCUACGGGAGGCAGGCAGGUGGGGAAUCGUUAGGACGAAGUGGGGCGACAAGCCUAG
This 342-nucleotide ribosomal RNA is filed under the name uncultured soil bacterium. Its description in RNAcentral is "bacterial SSU rRNA". It matches the Rfam family "Bacterial small subunit ribosomal RNA", at positions 26 to 386 of the family's 1533-position model. The record is from RNAcentral.